This 469-nucleotide ribosomal RNA is filed under the name uncultured bacterium. RNAcentral describes it as "partial 16S ribosomal RNA". It matches the Rfam family "Bacterial small subunit ribosomal RNA", at positions 28 to 507 of the family's 1533-position model. The record is from RNAcentral.
GACGAACGCUGGCGGCGUGCUUAACACAUGCAAGUCGAACGGAAAGGCCCUGCUUGCAGGGUGCUCGAGUGGCGAACGGGUGAGUAACACGUGGGUGAUCUGCCCCUUACUUUGGGAUAAGCCUGGGAAACUGGGUCUAAUACUGGAUAGGACCAUGCUGUAGGUGGUGUGGUGGAAAGAUUAGUUUCGGUAAGGGAUGAGCUCGCGGCCUAUCAGCUUGUUGGUGGGGUAAUGGCCUACCAAGGCGUCGACGGGUAGCCGGCCGGAGAGGGUGGACGGCCACAUUGGGACUGAGAUACGGCCCAGACUCCUACGGGAGGCAGCAGUGGGGAAUAUUGCACAAUGGGCGCAAGCCUGAUGCAGCGACGCCGCGUGGGGGAUGACGGCCUUCGGGUUGUAAACUCCUUUCAGCCAUGACGAAGCCCUUGUGGUGACGGUAGUGGUAGAAGAAGCACCGGCUAACUACGUG